ACCCUUCGGAUUCCUUACCCCUAGGAUCUAAAUGUCGGUCUGACUGGCUAAAAAGGGGGAAAAGUAAAAUGGAAGUGGACUUAGAGUUUUUACUGAGCUACAAGUUCAUUUCAAACACUU
Molecule: small nucleolar RNA, 120 nt
Filed under: Echinops telfairi (small Madagascar hedgehog)
Lineage: Eukaryota; Metazoa; Chordata; Mammalia; Afrosoricida; Tenrecidae
Description: Small nucleolar RNA SNORA61 (ENSETEG00000026577.1)
Source: RNAcentral